AUUGAACGCUGGCGGCAUGCUUUACACAUGCAAGUCGAACGGUAACAGGUUAAGCUGACGAGUGGCGAACGGGUGAGUAAUGCAUCGGAACGUGCCCGAUCGUGGGGGAUAACGCAGCGAAAGCUGCGCUAAUACCGCAUACGAUCUGAGGAUGAAAGCGGGGGACCGUAAGGCCUCGCGCGAUCGGAGCGGCCGAUGUCAGAUUAGGUAGUUGGUGGGGUAAAGGCCCACCAAGCCGACGAUCUGUAGCUGGUCUGAGAGGACGACCAGCCACACUGGGACUGAGACACGGCCCAGACUCCUACGGGAGGCAGCAGUGGGGAAUUUUGGACAAUGGGCGAAAGCCUGAUCCAGCAAUGCCGCGUGCAGGAAGAAGGCCUUCGGGUUGUAAACUGCUUUUGUACGGAGCGAAAAGGCCCUUUCUAAUACAAGGGGCUCAUGACGGUACCGUAAGGAUAAGCACCGGCUAACUACGUGCCAGCAGCCGCCGUAA
RNAcentral lists this ribosomal RNA (493 nucleotides) under uncultured bacterium. Its description in RNAcentral is "partial 16S ribosomal RNA". It matches the Rfam family "Bacterial small subunit ribosomal RNA", at positions 29 to 523 of the family's 1533-position model. The record is from RNAcentral.